This is a small nuclear RNA of Sarcophilus harrisii (Tasmanian devil), 105 nucleotides long. The record is from Ensembl. Lineage: Eukaryota; Metazoa; Chordata; Mammalia; Dasyuromorphia; Dasyuridae.
GCUUGCUUCGGCAACACAUAUACUAAAAUUGGAAUGAUAGAGAGUAGAUUAGCAUGGCCCCUGUGCAAGGAUGACAUGCAAAUUCAGGAAGCGUUCCAUAUUUUU